AAGCUGUGGAAGCACAUUUCUUGUGUGACCGCGUACUUUUUGUAGAACGGGCCAACGAGUAAGGGUAAGGAGCAGGGUGAAGCACUUAAGGGGCGGAGCCGUAGCGAAAGCGAGUUGUAACUGAGCGUUCAGUUACGUGACGUAGACCCGAAACCGGGCGACCUACCCAGGAGCAGGAUGAAGCGAAAGUAAAAUUUCGUGGAGGUCCGAACCCACGAGCGUUGAAAAGCUCGGGGAUGACUUGUGGGUAGCGGUGAAAUUCCAAUCGAGCCCGGAGAUAGCUGGUUCUCCCCGAAAUAGCUUUAGGGCUAGCCUCAAGGUGAGAGAUACGGAGGUAGAGCACUGAAUGUCCUAGGGGGUAUUGCACCUACCGAAGACUAUCAAACUCCGAAUGCCGUCAUCUUAUACUUGGGAGUCAGACUGUGGGUGAUAAGAUUCAUAGUCGAAAGGGCAACAGCCCAGAUCGUCAGCUAAGGUCCCUAAAUGUAAGUUAAGUGGUAAAGGAUGUGGGAUUGCACAGACAACCAGGAUGUUGGCUUAGAAGCAGCCACUCAUUCAAAGAGUGCGUAAUAGCUCACUGGUCGAGUGAUCCUGCGCCGAAGAUUUCCGGGGCUAAAACUUACUACCGAAGCUACGGCAUCAGUAAUGAUGGGUAGGGGAGCUUCCCAUACGGGUUGAAGCAUGACCGUAAGGACAUGUGGACAGUAUGGGAGUGAGAAUGUUGGCAUGAGUAGCGAGAUGUGGGUG
Molecule: ribosomal RNA, 747 nt
Filed under: Clostridioides difficile
Lineage: Bacteria; Bacillati; Bacillota; Clostridia; Peptostreptococcales; Peptostreptococcaceae
Description: bacterial LSU rRNA
Rfam family: Bacterial large subunit ribosomal RNA
Source: RNAcentral